This 289-nucleotide ribosomal RNA is filed under the name uncultured bacterium. Its description in RNAcentral is "partial 16S ribosomal RNA". It matches the Rfam family "Bacterial small subunit ribosomal RNA", at positions 28 to 321 of the family's 1533-position model. The record is from RNAcentral.
GAUGAACGCUAGCGGCAGGCCUAAUACAUGCAAGUCGAACGAGAUUGGUAGCAAUACCAUGAAAGUGGCGCACGGGUGCGUAACACGUAUGCAAUCUACCUUUAAUUGGAGGAUAGCCUCGAGAAAUCGGGAUUAAUACUCCAUAACAUUAUGAAGUGGCAUCACUAUAUAAUUAAACCUCCGGGGAUUAAAGAUGAGCAUGCGCAACAUUAGCAGUUGGUAAGGUAAUGGCUUACCAAGGCUACGAUGUUUAGGGGGUCUGAGAGGAUGAUCCCCCACACUGGUACGU